GCACAGGUAGCAAUACCGGGUGGCGACCGGCGCACGGGUGAGUAACGCGUAUGCAACUUGCCUAUCAGAGGGGGAUAACCCGGCGAAAGUCGGACUAAUACCGCAUGAAGCAGGGGCCCCGCAUGGGGAUAUUUGCUAAAGAUUCAUCGCUGAUAGAUAGGCAUGCGUUCCAUUAGGCAGUUGGCGGGGUAACGGCCCACCAAACCGACGAUGGAUAGGGGUUCUGAGAGGAAGGUCCCCCACAUUGGUACUGAGACACGGACCAAACUCCUACGGGAGGCAGCAGUGAGGAAUAUUGGUCAAUGGGCGUAAGCCUGAACCAGCCAAGUCGCGUGAGGGAUGAAGGUUCUAUGGAUCGUAAACCUCUUUUAUAAGGGAAUAAAGUGCGGGACGUGUCCCGUUUUGUAUGUACCUUAUGAAUAAGGAUCGGCUAACUCCGUGCCAGCAGCCGCGGUAAUACGGAGGAUCCGAGCGUUAUCCGGAUUUAUUGGGUUUAAAGGGUGCGUAGGCGGCCUUUUAAGUCAGCGGUGAAAGUCUGUGGCUCAACCAUAGAAUUGCCGUUGAAACUGGGAGGCUUGAGUAUGUUUGAGGCAGGCGGAAUGCGUGGUGUAGCGGUGAAAUGCUUAGAUAUCACGCA
This 637-nucleotide ribosomal RNA is filed under the name uncultured Bacteroidales bacterium. RNAcentral's name for it is "bacterial SSU rRNA". It matches the Rfam family "Bacterial small subunit ribosomal RNA", at positions 69 to 703 of the family's 1533-position model. The record is from RNAcentral. Lineage: Bacteria; Pseudomonadati; Bacteroidota; Bacteroidia; Bacteroidales.